GGGGGGGGGGGGGGGGGGGGGUGGGGGGGGGAGGGCGGGCGAGCGGGGGAGGCGGGUGCGCGUCUGACGUUGGCGGCGGACGGGUGGGUAACACGUGGAUAACCUACCUAUAAGACUGGGAUAACUUCGGGAGACCGGAGCUAAUACCGGAUAAUAUAUUGAACCGCAUGGUUCACUAGUCAGAGACGGUUUUGCUGUCACUUCUAGAUGGAUCCGCGCCGCAUUAGCUAGUUGGUAAGGUAACGGCUUACCAAGGCAACGAUUCGUAGCCGACCUGAGAGGGGGAUCGGCCACACUGGAACUGAGACACGGUCCAGACGCCUACGGGAGGCAGCAGUAGGGAAUCUUCCGCAAUGGGCGAAAGCCUGACGGAGCAACGCCGCGUGAGUGAUGAAGGUCUUCGGAUCGUAAAACUCUGUUAUUAGGGAAGAACAAAUGUGUAAGUAACUAUGCACGUCUUGACGGUACCUAAUCAGAAAGCCACGGCUAACUACGUG
This 497-nucleotide ribosomal RNA is filed under the name uncultured bacterium. Its description in RNAcentral is "partial 16S ribosomal RNA". It matches the Rfam family "Bacterial small subunit ribosomal RNA", at positions 27 to 507 of the family's 1533-position model. The record is from RNAcentral.